UUGGCUAUCAUUCAUUGCCUCUUUAUCUUUAAUAUCCUUUUUUCUUUGUUUUUCAAAUUCUACAGGUUCAUCUUUUUGUUCUUCUGGGGUAGUCACAACAUUUUCUUUUGGUGGUUCUGAAAUUUUAGGCCCGUCGUAUUGAGUUCCGCUUCACAACGAAAUAGCAUUAGCAUGGCCUUUAGGGUUAGGUUGAGGUUGUC
This 200-nucleotide long non-coding RNA is filed under the name Lathyrus oleraceus (garden pea). RNAcentral's name for it is "Pisum sativum (pea) long non-coding RNA (PSAT_LNC001821)". Lineage: Eukaryota; Viridiplantae; Streptophyta; Magnoliopsida; Fabales; Fabaceae. The record is from RNAcentral.